RNAcentral lists this transfer RNA (59 nucleotides) under Loxodonta africana (African savanna elephant). It matches the Rfam family "tRNA". Rfam says of the family: Transfer RNA (tRNA) molecules are approximately 80 nucleotides in length. Their secondary structure includes four short double-helical elements and three loops (D, anti-codon, and T loops). The record is from Rfam by way of RNAcentral. Lineage: Eukaryota; Metazoa; Chordata; Mammalia; Proboscidea; Elephantidae.
AGUGGUUAAGUGCUUGGCUGCUAACCAAAAGGUUGGUGGUUCAAACCCACCAGCCACUC